CAUCUACUCCCUUCGUCCGAAAAAACUUGUCUCAAGCUUGUCCCUCAAAUGGAUGUAUCUAGCACUAACUUGAUGCUAGAUACAUUUAUUUGAAGAACAAGCUUUUUCGGACGGCGAGAGUAUGUC
Triticum aestivum (bread wheat) is the source of this 126-nucleotide non-coding RNA. Lineage: Eukaryota; Viridiplantae; Streptophyta; Magnoliopsida; Poales; Poaceae. The record is from Rfam.